This is a long non-coding RNA of Branchiostoma floridae (Florida lancelet), 214 nucleotides long. RefSeq lists it as uncharacterized. NCBI's taxonomy places the organism in Eukaryota, Metazoa, Chordata, Leptocardii, Amphioxiformes, Branchiostomatidae. The record is from RefSeq and is a predicted model, not a curated record. The transcript has 4 exons.
GGUCAGACAACAUGAUCAAGAUAUAGGAACAGUUCCAAGUGAUAUCUCGAACCAGCUGACCAAUCUGGGAAAUAGUGUAACUACGUUGCGACAAGAUGUCACAAACUUGCAACAAAAUCAGGGUUCAACAGACGUAACUCAGCUGCAGUCAAGAUUGACAUCAUUGGAACAGACAGUACAACAAAUACAAGCGUCUGUGAAUACUCUGACAACU